RNAcentral lists this ribosomal RNA (979 nucleotides) under Chryseobacterium balustinum. RNAcentral describes it as "bacterial SSU rRNA". It matches the Rfam family "Bacterial small subunit ribosomal RNA", at positions 535 to 1528 of the family's 1533-position model. Lineage: Bacteria; Pseudomonadati; Bacteroidota; Flavobacteriia; Flavobacteriales; Weeksellaceae. The record is from RNAcentral.
CAAGCGUUAUCCGGAUUUAUUGGGUUUAAAGGGUCCGUAGGCGGAUCUGUAAGUCAGUGGUGAAAUCUCAUAGCUUAACUAUGAAACUGCCAUUGAUACUGCAGGUCUUGAGUAAAGUAGAAGUGGCUGGAAUAAGUAGUGUAGCGGUGAAAUGCAUAGAUAUUACUUAGAACACCAAUUGCGAAGGCAGGUCACUAUGUUUUAACUGACGCUGAUGGACGAAAGCGUGGGGAGCGAACAGGAUUAGAUACCCUGGUAGUCCACGCCGUAAACGAUGCUAACUCGUUUUUGGGCUUUAGGGUUCAGAGACUAAGCGAAAGUGAUAAGUUAGCCACCUGGGGAGUACGUUCGCAAGAAUGAAACUCAAAGGAAUUGACGGGGGCCCGCACAAGCGGUGGAUUAUGUGGUUUAAUUCGAUGAUACGCGAGGAACCUUACCAAGGCUUAAAUGGGAAUUGACAGGUUUAGAAAUAGACUUUUCUUCGGACAAUUUUCAAGGUGCUGCAUGGUUGUCGUCAGCUCGUGCCGUGAGGUGUUAGGUUAAGUCCUGCAACGAGCGCAACCCCUGUCACUAGUUGCCAUCAUUCAGUUGGGGACUCUAGUGAGACUGCCUACGCAAGUAGAGAGGAAGGUGGGGAUGACGUCAAAUCAUCACGGCCCUUACGCCUUGGGCCACACACGUAAUACAAUGGCCAGUACAGAGGGCAGCUACCAGGCGACUGGAUGCGAAUCUCGAAAGCUGGUCUCAGUUCGGAUUGGAGUCUGCAACUCGACUCUAUGAAGCUGGAAUCGCUAGUAAUCGCAUAUCAGCCAUGAUGCGGUGAAUACGUUCCCGGGCCUUGUACACACCGCCCGUCAAGCCAUGGAAGUUUGGGGUACCUGAAGUCGGUGACCGUAACAGGAGCUGCCUAGGGUAAAACAAGUAACUAGGGCUAAGUCGUAACAAGGUAGCCGUACCGGAAGGUGCGGCUGGAACAUCU